CUGGAAGUUAAAGUCUCCAUUAGUGACGGUGCGAAAAUUGUCUCACAUUCUGAUGAUGCUGAUGUAUAAUUAGCUAAACAGAAUGGUUCAGUUUUCAGACUUUUUCUCCAACAUCUACGAGUAAGAAGACAAUAUGAAGGAUCAAUACAAUUCGGCCGUCAGGUGGGGCAGCGACUGCGGUGGCGACACCCAACUCCUCCUCGUACAGGGAGAGUAAUCCGUAGCACUACGUGUCCCGCACGGCAGCGGUUUUGACGACCCGAACCUAAAGCCCGAAACCUCGACGUCUCCUGUCUUCUUCCUCCUCACCUAGUUCAAGAAACUCUCUCCUUCCUCUCUUGCUUCAUGGGUGGAGGGCUCUCCCGUCAUGAUUCGCCCUCUGUGGCUGACACAAGCGCCCCAUCCAAUCUCGAUAAAGAUCAGAUGCUUGCGCAGGCAGAGAAAGAAAUGGGCUUCAGAAUAGAUCAUUUAAACCGGCUUGCUCAUACCUGUUUCAACAAGUGUGUUGACAAAAGAUUUCGGACCACAUUUGGCAUAUUUCAUUCAUCAUAUCUGGAAAAUUUGAAAGUGUGGACUGUUCUAUCAAAAUGGAUGAACUUCCAAAAACCUCUGUCAAGAGUUUUACCAAAUUAUAAUGUCAGGUUUUCUUGAUGUUUCCUGUACAAGAUACAAAGAUUCCGAGCUCUAUAUUGGCGAAAACAGUUGCGUUGAUCGUUGCGUUUCAAAGUAUAUUCAGGUGACAAAUAUAAUUGGACACAUACUGGCUUCCGGCAAGCCACCAGUUUGAAGCAGCUGCUGCUUGUAGAGCAAAUAGCUCAAUUCUUUCUUCAUCUGCUGCCAACAUAAUGAAUGAAUGAUGAUAGCACCUCCAAAAUUGAUUUGGAAAUGUUUGAUAGCUAUUACCUUACUACCAAUUCUUGAAUUAUUUGAUUACCAAUUGAAUAUAUAAUCCCUUAUUACCUCAUCUAAAUUGUCUGUAC
RNA transcript from Musa acuminata AAA Group (dessert banana), 980 nucleotides. It is a transcript of the gene named mitochondrial import inner membrane translocase subunit TIM10-like, with no coding region annotated. The transcript is spliced from 6 exons. The record is from RefSeq and is a predicted model, not a curated record. NCBI's taxonomy places the organism in Eukaryota, Viridiplantae, Streptophyta, Magnoliopsida, Zingiberales, Musaceae.